Molecule: non-coding RNA, 3873 nt
Organism: Leptonychotes weddellii (Weddell seal)
Lineage: Eukaryota; Metazoa; Chordata; Mammalia; Carnivora; Phocidae
Source: RefSeq, a predicted model, not a curated record
AGGAUUAGCUGUGGACCCUACUUCUGGAGCAAAACUCAGACAAGGAUUUGCUAAAUCUUCUAAAAAAGAUUAACUUCUAGAGGCCAGACCGUCUCCCUUUAACUCAUCAGCGUGGAUGGCUGUGUACCCAGGAAUGCCACCUAAGGGGGAAGGAAAGGCGGACGGCUGUUUAUAAGCCCACGAUUCUUCUUGAGACAUAAUGGAGAACAAGUAAAAACCACAUUCACCUUUUCUUCUUCAUUACUCUCUUUAAAAUUUUCAAAACAAUAUUAAACAACACAUCAACCUGUAUGUCAGUGGUUGACUUUUUGUUUUAAUUACAGUUAAUAGGUUUUUAAAGAAAUGUUGCUUUGAUGUUAGAACCUUUUAGGAAAACAGUCUUUGGAGUUUUACUUACUAGCAUUAUUUACUUAACUAGGAAAAUAGUGUUUUACCUAGCUUAACCUACACAAUGUGAAAUCCCGUUUUUGAUAUUUGCUUCUAAUGAACUUUAAUCAGUAAGUGUUCCUAUUUUAAGUGUCCAUCUGUAUACCAUGAGGAAUUGUCUCAGACCAGUGCACACAGCUUUUGGGGAAACACUGCCAUGGAGGAACAGUUACAGUAACUCUCCCCUCCUGUGGGAAGGGUGCUCUUAAGUGGACUCAGGUUAUUUAUUUAUCAUGGCUGAAUCAGAAGCCAGCUGGUUAGUCCACCACUGGUUUAUAUGGCUCUGUUCCUUUUCUUUGCCGUCCUCAGGGUGAAUAAACUCUCUUUGUAGAGUCCUUUAUACUUAUGCUUUUUUCAUUUAAGAACUUUUUUUUUUCCUUGACCUCAAGGAAUUUCAAUUAGGAAUUAAGCCAUUUCUCCUGUCUAAAUUUAAGUAGGAGAAUUCCAACCUACUCCACUUGUAAUGCCCCGAACACAACACCUGAAACUUUUAGGAUCUGUAUUUUGGGGAGCUAAUGCUGUUUUAUGCUCAGGGAAAUCAGGUAUGUGUCCUGGAAUGGACUGAAGACUACUAAGCCACAUAAAAGUAUUUGUGGAAGCUUCUGUGAAUGGAUCUUGGGAGAUUUCACUAAGGUGAGCCAGUACUCUCCUUCUCCUCAUGCUCUGGCAGAUCGCCUUCUCUCGGAGAGGUAAGAGCAGAUAUAGGAAUGGAGGUAGGCAUCCCAAUGGAUUCCUACUUCAUGAAGAGGUAACCUUUAUCCCUUUGUCUCAUUUCCUACCCCCAGGUUAAACUGUACAUUAAGGCUCUACCAUGUCAGUUCCACAUACUACAGCCAAGCCCCGGGCCACUUGUCUGCUGCCCAUCACGGUCCUCGGCAUCACUGGAACUCCUAGAGGGAAAGGAGACAGCGGGGCAGCCUUCAACUGAAACUGCGGAGAGAUGGAGUGGAAGGUGCUCAGAAGGUCUCCGGCCUGCAGACUCUCUUUCAUCAGCUCCUGACCCCAGGAAAUACUUGCUGAAAGAAUGAACUGACGCUACGUGCAAAACUGGCACAGAAAACCACAGUAAACAGUGGCGUGUAAGGGCUAACGUGCAUCCGCAUCCUGCAUCCCUUUUCCCUUGCGGUGUCUGGCCAGAGGACUAGCUGAGCCAUUUAAAGAUGCGCUGACCAAAUGCUGUGCCAUUUAGGCACAAAUGGAGGGACGGUGCUGAGCACAUGAGCGGAGCCACGGUGGCCUGAGCUCCAGAGCAGGGGAGAGGCCGCGCCGUGGGCCUGGCCUGGAUCUACCCAGAUAUGGGCCUCUCAGUUACCAUGAGCCUUGCUUCCUGCUUUCCCACAUCCCAAUUUAUAUAUGCAGACUCGGGCUGGGAGGACAAUGCCGGAGGCACAGGUGCGGCUCCAGGGGCAGAAAGAUGAUCCGCAUCACUAGCGCGGCGCGUGUUCUGGAUCACGAGACCGUCUGCGGAGAGAAGAGGAACAGAGGAACAGUUUUCUGGUAUUAGCCGUUUGAAAACAGUGCUCUUCCUCCCCUCGCAGCUCAGCACCAACCACCCAGAACCAGCACGCUUCUUUAAAUGGGUCCAGUGCAGCACCCACGUCCCCCUCCUCCCCGUGCGCUCCCACAGGUCUCUCUGCACUCAAGUCCUCAGGGGUGAGGAGGCCAGCACAGUGUUUGGACGGGGCACGAAGCACACUUUCCCUUCCCCAGAGACCGCUAGUUCCAUAGACACGGGAUUAGCUACUUCAGAUCAUGACUUCAGGUCAGCGGGAGACUCAGUCGGCCAAGUCAAAGAAAAAAAAAAAAAACUCCCCUGUGCAUUCGAAUGUUUUACUGCUAUGGAAACAAAAAUCAUCUCUGCUUAUUCAAACCGUGGGCUAUUCGUCUUCGCUCGUUGUUAGCACAACAUACACUGUUUAUCACACCUGUUUAAACUUCCACGGGAUGAGAUGAAAUAAUUUGUGUACAUCCAAGUUAAUUUGUUUGCAAGGUUACCAGGCUGAAGGUCUCAACUCUAGGAUGCCAACAAAAUGUGAAUAAAGCUAGUUUAGCUCGCUGAUGCGGGGCCUGCGGAGGGGAAACAAAAUAUUCCCACGGAAACAACAGUGGCCCAGGCUGCGGUCAAAGGCGUAGGUAGCAUCCUCUAGUGAACUGUUUUCCUAAUCUCUUCCCCUCUGCUUUAUGGGCACAUUUCCUCAUUCCUGAGCCCCACCCUGGAGGGCCAACUACUUGUUCGCAGGCCACUUCCAGGAGGUGGGCCUGCUGCCUUCUCAAUCUCAACCUGUCUCAAACCAAAACUGUCACCACCCUUCCAACCCGGGCCAGUCCCCCAAAGCCAGGCCCUUCUGCUUCUACCGGCGGACCAUCACGCGAGGAGGCGACGUCGCAGGCGGUCCUGAACAACGCAGUAAAACCCUGACUACCUAGAAUCCUGUGCUUUUCUAGAGAGAGUAAUUCUCAGGCAAGUGGAUACUAACCUUUCAAGUGCCAAUACUUAAAAAAAAUUAGAGUACUAUAUGUUUACAUUAAAAACACCCUGGGGUAGCUUUUGUUUGCAGACCAGCCUUUUCUGAGCUUUGCCAAGGAAGCCGAGCGCUGGGCGGGAAAGGGACCAAUCACAGCAGGUCUUCAAGUGCCUGUUUCGUGCAGGCAUUCAUUGACCGCCCAGUCUUUAGAGUUGCUCUUUAUUGUUAAAAGUUAAUUUUUACUUACCUUUUCACAGUUACUUUCAGAUCGGAAAGCUGGAGCCUAGCUAGGUGAAAUUUUAUUGUAAUAACAGUGGAAGCCUCUUUAAACAUACGAGCACAUGUACACAGAGAAACUGACCUUCCUUUUCUAAUGGGCCAAAACUUCAGCAAACUUCUUGUGUUCCGCAUCAGCUAGCUCAGAUGCUUUCAGUGUCUGGUCAGAGCUCACAAGGAGCCAGCACCAGGCAGAUACCCCUCACCGAGGUGCCCCACCUGCCUGGAACCCUCAGAGCUGACGUGUGUACUUUGACCUGAAGCUUCAGCACUGAUCCAAAGCUGGGACGUGGCCGUUCUCAGCCAGCAUCUUGGCACCAAACCUUCCUUCUGAGGGCAGCACGCACAUACCUUGUUCCUCUGUCACCAAGUGUGACUUGAACUGAGCCCCUCUCCCCCAACUCCUUGUGCCCUCACAGUAUCGCUGUUCAUGCCCGAGGCCCUCCUCUGGGCAUCUCCAACAACUGUGGCCACAGACAGAAGGACUCCUUCCAGGAAUGCUAUCCCGUGUGGCCGAGUUUUUGCUGCCAGGUCUCAUGAUGUGUCCUACUUCUCAUCCAGCCCAAGUCUGGCCGUAAUACUGGCCCAGCUAUAAAAGCCAUAGAAUUUAUCAUCAUCAUUACAUAUACGCAUUCACUCGAAAUUGCUGUGUUCUUUCCAGGUCUAUCACAAAAGAUUAAAAUGUGCACACAGUAUAAAGUUUGAA